GCUUAACACAUGCAAGUCGAGGGGCAGCAUUUCAGUUUGCUUGCAAACUGGAGAUGGCGACCGGCGCACGGGUGAGUAACACGUAUCCAACCUGCCGAUAACUCGGGGAUAGCCUUUCGAAAGAAAGAUUAAUACCCGAUGGUAUAAUCAGACCGCAUGGUCUUGUUAUUAAAGAAUUUCGGUUAUCGAUGGGGAUGCGUUCCAUUAGGCAGUUGGUGAGGUAACGGCUCACCAAACCUUCGAUGGAUAGGGGUUCUGAGAGGAAGGUCCCCCACAUUGGAACUGAGACACGGUCCAAACUCCUACGGGAGGCAGCAGUGAGGAAUAUUGGUCAAUGGGCGCAGGCCUGAACCAGCCAAGUAGCGUGAAGGAUGACUGCCCUAUGGGUUGUAAACUUCUUUUAUAUGGGAAUAAAGUUUUCCACGUGUGGAAUUUUGUAUGUACCAUAUGAAUAAGGAUCGGCUAACUCCGUGCCAGCAGCCGCGGUAAUACGGAGGAUCCGAGCGUUAUCCGGAUUUAUUGGGUUUAAAGGGAGCGUAGGUGGACAGUUAAGUCAGUUGUGAAAGUUUGCGGCUCAACCGUAAAAUUGCAGUUGAUACUGGCUGUCUUGAGUACAGUAGAGGUGGGCGGAAUUCGUGGUGUAGCGGUGAAAUGCUUAGAUAUCACGAAGAACUCCGAUUGCGAAGGCAGCUCACUGGACUGCAACUGACACUGAUGCUCGAAAGUGUGGGUAUCAAACAGGAUUAGAUACCCUGGUAGUCCACACAGUAAACGAUGAAUACUCGCUGUUUGCGAUAUACAGUAAGCGGCCAAGCGAAAGCAUUAAGUAUUCCACCUGGGGAGUACGCCGGCAACGGUGAAACUCAAAGGAAUUGACGGGGGCCCGCACAAGCGGAGGAACAUGUGGUUUAAUUCGAUGAUACGCGAGGAACCUUACCCGGGCUUAAAUUGCAUUUGAAUAUAUUGGAAACAGUAUAGCCGUAAGGCAAAUGUGAAGGUGCUGCAUGGUUGUCGUCAGCUCGUGCCGUGAGGUGUCGACUUAAGUGCCAUAACGAGCGCAACCCUUAUCUUUAGUUACUAACAGGUCAUGCUGAGGACUCUAGAGAGACUGCCGUCGUAAGAUGUGGGGAAGGUGGGGAUGACGUCAAAUCAGCACGGCCCUUACGUCCGGGGCUACACACGUGUUACAAUGGGGGGUACAGAAGGCAGCUACCUGGUGACAGGAUGCUAAUCCCAAAAGCCUCUCUCAGUUCGGAUCGAAGUCUGCAACCCGACUUCGUGAAGCUGGAUUCGCUAGUAAUCGCGCAUCAGCCAUGGCGCGGUGAAUACGUUCCCGGGCCUUGUACACACCGCCCGUCAAGCCAUGAAAGCCGGGGGUACCUGAAGUACGUAACCGCAAGGAGCGUCCUAGGGUAAAACUGGUAAUUGGGGC
RNAcentral lists this ribosomal RNA (1432 nucleotides) under uncultured organism. RNAcentral's name for it is "16S ribosomal RNA". It matches the Rfam family "Bacterial small subunit ribosomal RNA". The record is from RNAcentral.